UACAGAGGUGGCAAGCGUUGUUCGGAAUUACUGGGCGUAAAGGGCGCGUAGGCGGCCUUCUAAGUCAGACGUGAAAUCCCCGGGCUCAACCUGGGAACUGCGUUUGAAACUACAGGGCUAGAGUAUGGGAGAGGGAGGUAGAAUUCCACGUGUAGCAGUGAAAUGCGUAGAGAUGUGGAGGAAUACCAAUGGCGAAGGCAGCCUCCUGGCCUAAUACUGACGCUCAUGCACGAAAGCGUGGGGAGCAAACAGG
Molecule: ribosomal RNA, 253 nt
Filed under: uncultured bacterium
Lineage: Bacteria
Description: partial 16S ribosomal RNA
Rfam family: Bacterial small subunit ribosomal RNA
Source: RNAcentral